RNA transcript from Hypanus sabinus (Atlantic stingray), 5256 nucleotides. It is a transcript of the gene named mitogen-activated protein kinase kinase kinase 5-like, with no coding region annotated. NCBI's taxonomy places the organism in Eukaryota, Metazoa, Chordata, Chondrichthyes, Myliobatiformes, Dasyatidae. The transcript has 30 exons. The record is from RefSeq and is a predicted model, not a curated record.
GGUGAAGGACCUGUUGAUGAACAUGGGGAGUAGAGGGUGAAGGACCUGCAGGGAGGUUACUGAUAGGGCAUGUGGGAAGUUGGGGAUAAAUCAGAAAAUGUGUUGUGCCGUUGAUGGUUGGGGUACUGGUUGAAGGGGUAAAUGUGGAGGAACAGUGCGGCAAAUCAUAGAAACGGGAGAUUCUGCAGAUCCUGAGCAACGCACACAAAAUGCUGGAGAAACUGCAUGGAACGCUACAUAAACAGUCAACCUUUCAUCAAGAAGGGAAAGGAAAAGUCCAGAAACCAGAAUUGGCACAGAGCGGCAGACAGUUUGGUGGUUUUGACAGUUGUCUGUGAGGGUUUGUUGAGGGAGUGGUGGUAUGUUAGGGAAGGUGUUGCGUUGGUGAGGGGAGCGGAUGGGCUCUGGGUGGUCGGUUGGGGGAGCGAACGGCGCGUUUGGCGAGUGACUAGGGCAGAGGAGUUGGUGGUGUGUUGUGGAGAGGACUGGGUGAGGUCGGGGAGGGAUGCAGGUGGCGAGGGCACUGGGGAAGAGUGAGCGGGGGAGAGGACCUUUCGCUCCGCGGCCCCCUCCCGUUGUCCUUCCCGCCCAGGUCGGGAGGCGGUGCAAGAGCCGCGCCCGGGAAGUGCGGAGCUGAAACGCAGAGUUGUGCUGAAGUUCGGGAGAGCGGCAGUGGACAGCGAUGAGUGGCUCCAGCCGCCGGGGCAGCGCGGUGAGCGGCGUCGAAGCCGGCCGGCCACCCUCGGUCUCCGCCGGCAGCUACUGGCAGGACCCGCUGGCCAUCGACAUCAGCCGCAGAGCCGUACCGGCGCCCCGGGUCCGCAGCAGGGCUGUCCGGGCGGUCUACGUGUGCAGCGAGCCGGGCGAUCCGCAGUCCGAGAGCAGCCUGUCCCUCAAGUGCCUCCGGGAAGCGUGCGAAGAUGCACAAGCCGUGCUGGAGGUCGUGCCCUUCGGCCGGCUGGCGAUGGGCGAGACUGGAACCCUGGACUGCUUCUACAACGCAGAUGUGGCAGUGGUGGAGAUGACGGACCCGUACUGUCACUCCUCACUCUUCUAUCACCUUGGUGUGCGGGAGAGUUUCAGCAUGAUCAACAACGUCAUCCUUUGCUGCGAUAGCAAUCUGACAACGCUGCAGUCGCUGCAGGAGAUCGUUUGCCAGAAAAACAUGGGCUGCUGCGGGAACUACAUGUUUAUCCCCUACAUCGUGACGCCCACUGGGAAGCUCUUCUGCUGCGAAGCCAGCAUGAUAAAGGGUCUGACAGAGAUGUUCCAGCCGCACUUUAACCUUGAGACCCUGCUCGUGCCAUUGGUGGAUCGCCUGACUAAGCUGCUCGAGGAAACGCAAAUCAAUUCUUGCGAGUAUUUUCGGGAAACCAUUCGGAAUGACAUCCGCAAAGCAAGGGAGAUGUACAGCGGGCAGGAGCUUCGAAAGGCCCUGGCACAGAUACAACAGCGUCUGGACAGCGUUGAGCUGCUGAGCGCAGACAUAGUGGUGAACCUUAUGCUAUCGUACCGGGACGUGCAGGAUUUUGAUGCGACGAUCACACUGGUGGAGACCCUGCAGAACCUGCCGACCUGUAAGGUGGCUGAGCUACCCAACGUCAAGUUCCACUACUGCUUUGCACUCAACAGGAGGAACCAAGCUGGAGACCGAGAGAAGGCCCUCUCCGUGAUCCUGCCAGUGGUGGAGACCGGAACGCAGAUCUCAUCUGACCUUUACUGCCUCUGUGGGCGCAUAUACAAAGAUAUCUUCAUCACUUCCAACUUCACGGACUGUGAGAGUCGAGACAAGUCGUGUUACUGGUAUCGGAUGGCCUUCGAGCACGAGCCAACUCUACACUCGGGCAUUAAUGUUGCUGUGUUCCUCAUGGCAGCCGGGCAUCGGUUUGAAACGUCAACUGAUCUCCAGAAAAUAGGAGUCAAGCUGAGCAGCCUGCUGGGCCGGAAGGGAAGCCUGGAGAAGAUGCAGUUUUACUGGGAUGUCGGGUUUUACUUUGGGGCCUGCAUCUUGUUGAACGACCAAACCAAAAUCAUCCAGGCCUCAGAGAAGCUCUACAGGCUGAAUGCGCCCGUCUGGUACCUGGCGUCAGCAAUGGAAACGUACCUGCUCUACCGGCGCUUCAAAACCGACACCAGUGAGCCGCACAGUGUCAAACAGGAGCUGGUGGACUUCUGGAUGGAAUUCUUACUGUCGAUCUGCAGAAACAAAGCACCCGUGGAUAAUUUCCUGGUUCUCAUCCUGGAGCCAACCAAGAUCUUUCAGCCUGCACGUCUCCUUGUGAACACCAGUGACACAGACAAGGUUGUGAAGAUCUGUCACGUUUCACCCAGUGAGGAGAGCGGAAUCCACUCGUGGACCUUUAGCGCUACGUCGAUCCGUGGAGUGAGUGUCUCAAAGUUCAACGAGCGUUGUUGCUUCCUGUAUGUGUUGCACAACUCCGACGAUUUUCAGCUGUACUUUCCAUCAGAGCUGCAUUGCAAAAGGUUCUGUGAGCUGCUGAAUCCAUUCUCGGAUGAAAGCAAGACGACCAUAGACGAUGGGAUGAGACUGACGGAGGAGCCUUUGGAGUACAGCUAUGAAUUUGCGGAGAAUGGAGAACGGCUGAUUCUCGGGAAGGGAACAUACGGCGUGGUGUAUGCUGGCCGGGACCUCAGCAGACAAGUCCGCAUUGCAAUCAAAGAGAUUCCAGAAAGGGACAACAGGUACUCACAGCCUCUUCAUGAAGAAAUCGCUCUCCACAAGCGGCUGAAACACCGGAAUAUUGUCCAGUACCUGGGAUCGGUUAGUCAGGAUGGCUUCAUCAAAAUCUUCAUGGAGGAGGUCCCAGGAGGAAGCCUCUCUGCUCUGCUGCACUCCAAGUGGGGUCCACUGAAAGACAACGAAGCCACGAUUGUUUUCUACACAAAGCAGAUCCUGGAAGGACUGAAGUACCUGCAUGAGAAUCAGAUUGUGCACAGAGACAUUAAGGGGGAUAACGUACUAAUAAACACCUACAGUGGAGUGCUGAAGAUCUCAGACUUCGGGACGUCGAAGAGGCUCGCGGGAAUCAAUCCUUGCACGGAAACGUUCACAGGAACUCUGCAGUACAUGGCCCCCGAGAUCAUCGACAAGGGACCGCGAGGUUAUGGCAAACCUGCAGAUAUCUGGUCCUUGGCCUGUACCGUCAUUGAAAUGGCCACAGGAAAGCCGCCCUUCUUUGAACUGGGAGAGCCCCAGGCUGCCAUGUUUAAGGUGGGAAUGUUUAAGAUCCACCCAGAGAUUCCGGAGUCGAUGUCCCUGGAAGCAAAGACCUUCCUUCUGCACAGCUUUGAGCCCAACCCUGAUAAGCGGGCCACAGCCUCAGAGCUCCUCAAAGACCCGUUCCUGAACCGGAAGAAGAAGCCGCCCCCAAAGCCGGGUGAAUUUUACCACAGUCUGUCAGUCCCCACAGCAGGGCACAACAAGGAGGGGUCCGAGAUCCACCACCCUUUGGAUUUUAGACUCAUGCAACCAGCACUCUCACGGAGCUGCUCGAUUCCCGAGCUGCCCGUCAAGGGCAGCUCACCACAGCAGGAGUUCGUCAGUGUGCUUGAGGAACAGAUGGAUGACAUCCCUUCCUCGCCUGAAGAAAAUGCCUCCCUCUUCCUCUUGAAGAAGGACAGUGAGUGCAGGGCCACUCUCUUCAAGAUACUGACAGAGGACUGUGAAACGGUGGUCUGGAACAUUCUAGAAGCUCUGGCUCAGAUCUCCAACUGUAAGUUUACACGUGAACACAUCCGGCAUCUGGUCACCUGCUUGAAGAACUACAUUCGCUCUGCGGACCGCAAGUCCAUUAUAAGAGACAUGUCCUGCCUGAAGGCAGAGCUGCACCUUGACAAGGGAGCACUCAACGAAAUCCAGAUUGUCCUCUUCACCUUCCAGGAUGCUAUGAGAAAAGUUCUCCGGCAGCGCCAGAUUAGACCACACCUGAUGUUCGCUCUGGACAACAUCAUUCGCAAGGCCAUGCAGAUAACGUUUGCUGUUCUAAUCCCAGAGCUGAAGCUUCAGAUCGAGAGCUCAUCUGACCUGGAGCCAGAGGAACGAGGCACAGCUGACUUUCUGUGCAGUGGCAAUCUGAGUGAUGUGGGGGAGACGGAUGCGUUGGAGCUCCAGAACGAUGGCGCAGGGACCUCGGGCGUGAGCACACUCAGUCGCUCAGUGUCGUAUGAUUCCCAGCAGAACACCUGCCCUCGUAUCCUGCAGCUCAGCCGACUGAGGGCGGAAACAAAGCGACUCCUGGAAAACCUUGCAGAGAAAGAGUGCAAGUACCAACAACUACUGUUGCAACUUCUUCAUCAGAAAGAGCACAUCAUCGAGCUGCUGCGAGGGAGAUCAGAACCUGUGGGUGCCCAGUGCAGCUUCCAAUCAACACUUGUCGAUUCCAAAACUGAAGAACUCACAGAGUGGCUCCUAACAACACAAGUUGACCAACAGACAAUUGACAAGAUUAUAGCCGAUGGCUACACACUGCAGGAUCUUCUGAUCGAUGUUACAAAGGAUGACUUGAAAUAUACCCAAAUAAGAUAGUUCCAUCAUCGACAUGAAUGCCAGCGUUAUUCCGGCAUGCUUAGUACAUGAGCUGGAACUCCCCAGCUGCCGUGGUGGGAUUCAUACGAUCAGUGGUCCAGGUCUCUGUCUGCUAGGGGAGCAACUCAGCCAUCACGUGUGAGCGCUUUGUGUCCAGGCAUUAUCAGUGUGCUUCUGUGGGUUGCAGGGGUGGAAUGCUGUGCAGACUCUGGGCUGCCAUCAGUGCCCACAGGAUGAUGAAGGGGAUACAGACGGAACCAGGUACUUGCUGAACGACCUGCUAUGCUGUUGAAAAGCAGAUGCUGUUCAAGCGUAAUGGCACAACGCAGAAUGGACAGAUACAUCAGUGAAAAAACUUGCUGCUGCAACCUAACAGCGGUGAACUGAUCAAAGGACAGCUACAGUCUGCAUCUCCAGUAACUUUACCUCCAGCCGUUCACUUCCCACCAUUAGGAAGUGUUUGUAUCUGGGAUUGUUUAAGUUUUAAUGUGUCAGAUGUGGUUGAAUCCUCUUGUGCAACUGUUAAAGGACACGAUGUUCACAACUGACACAACUUCUGCUCCUGUCCAACACUCGUCCGGAUUCAUGGCGGACACGUAUGGUGGUGCAAUCAACAUGACAAUCAACCAUGUCACAAAAUAGAUGCUUGUGGUCUGAGAACAGUGCUGGGUGGGAAUAUUCACUGACAUCCAAAUCUCCCCCCCCCCCCC